CAGUCGCCGCGGUAAUACGUAGGUGGCGAGCGUUGUCCGGAAUCAUUGGGCGUAAAGGGAGCGCAGGCGGGCAUGUAAGUCUUUCUUAAAAGUUCGGGGCUCAACCCCGUGAUGGGAAAGAAACUACAUGUCUUGAGUACAGGAGAGGAAAGCGGAAUUCCCAGUGUAGCGGUGAAAUGCGUAGAUAUUGGGAGGAACACCAGUGGCGAAGGCGGCUUUCUGGACUGCAACUGACGCUGAGGCGCGAAAGCCAGGGGAGCGAACGGGAUUAGAUACCCGUGUAGUCCCUGUCUCUUAUACC
RNAcentral lists this ribosomal RNA (301 nucleotides) under uncultured bacterium. RNAcentral describes it as "partial 16S ribosomal RNA". It matches the Rfam family "Bacterial small subunit ribosomal RNA", at positions 509 to 808 of the family's 1533-position model. The record is from RNAcentral.